Phoenix dactylifera (date palm) is the source of this 1735-nucleotide long non-coding RNA. RefSeq lists it as uncharacterized. NCBI's taxonomy places the organism in Eukaryota, Viridiplantae, Streptophyta, Magnoliopsida, Arecales, Arecaceae. The record is from RefSeq and is a predicted model, not a curated record.
CUUAAAAAUAAUACUCAUCUCACACAAGGAACUACGAGUAAUUUAAAUCUCUACAAUACUAUUAAUCGGCAAAAAAUAUGCCGGGAUUCUUUUUUGUUUUUUUGGCUACAACCCAAAUUAGUUCUCAACACCAAAAUCGGAGAAGGCGGGAUAGCGGCACUCACCGUUUGCUGCUUGAGGGCUAGAAAGCUCGGCCAUGGUGUAUUAGGGCUAGGGUUAAGGUUUCUCCUGUAGCGAGUGAUCCAUCCCAUUCUCAGGCUGUAAGAGAAAAGGGAAGACGCCGAGGCGCAGCGCUUGCUCGGCCAAUGUCGUUGUCGUCCAUCGAGAUGGGAAACCCCUCCUCAAUUGGACGGUCGAUUCAAAAAUCGGUUGCCGCUUGGUGGAUUGCCGUGGAGGAGACCUGUCUCUGCGUGAGAAAAGAUUCUUUUGUUGUUUUUUUUGGGAAUUAUUUGUGAGGUCUUUGUAAUGGUUGUCUCCCAUUCUGUUGCCAUUCCACUAUGUUGCAUGCGUUGACAAGUACAAACAGAUAUAAAAGAAAUGAUGAAGACUGACGAAGCCAAAAGAGUUCAGUUAUCCAAUCAUUUUUGGUAUUGAAAUUGAACUUUUCGAAUUCUGGCAAUCCUUAUCUACCGGAUUGCGCCGUAAGAUUCAAUGCUUUAUAUGCCCUGUUGCACAAUGGCAACCACUCCAGAUUAGCCUGUCCAGGAAAGCUCGCACCCUGUUGCUUUGCCAACAACAGUUCUCGAAAUUCCUGAGCCAUAGCUUUAAUCCGCAGCUCAUACCCAUCAUAUCAUUCAUAUCAACAACUUGCAAGCUUGACAACUGGAACAGAAUGGACAGCAUCCAAAGCGAACGUCCACAGUCAAAAAGCAAAAGAAGAAUGGUGGUAUUUCAGCUAUCAUACGAAUGCAGCCAUGGCCACGAAUAUUCCUGUUAUUUUCCACUGGAACCGAGCAAACAAAGAUGUAGGUGCGAAUAUGCUGAGGCGUUUGUGCAUGUGAAGCCCACUUGAUGGGAAAAGGACAUGCACCAGUUAACUACACUUGCCGGAGCAGUGAGAGCAGAGGAAGAGAUGUUAUGGAUGCUGAGGUCAGUGAGCACUCGGCAAAGGGUGGUCUGUUGCUGCUUGGGAUUUGAGCCAUGUCUCUCUGGCUUCUCCUUCAGAGGGGUUUGUGAGUGCAUGGUCUCUCUCUCUCUCUCUCUCUCUCUCUCUCUCUCUCUCUGUCUCUCCCCACCUUUCUUGCAUGCAUUGCUCGGCCAACCCCAUCAUUCCAUCGGAGAAAGGAGCCGAGGGGGAUUCUUGGCUUUUGGUGUUUGGUGGUGGGGGAGGGGGAGUCCACAAUAUGAGGAGAAAAUGAAGCAGGGAGGAGGAGGUGCCAUGUCCUUUCCUCCCCUUUGAUCCUUGAUACAUCUUAUCAUAUCCGUCUGGUCAAGAUCGUGUGACCCUCUGCGUGGGCCACUCAACUUGUGUUGUCGUCGAGCAGGGGCCCUGGGUUAUCAUGGGCCAGUUGAUUGAGAUUCCUCACUCUUCUUGGUGCCCUCACUUUUGUAUCAAUGAUGUGACCUUGAUACUCUGAAAGUUAAAGAUUAUCAUUUCAUUGAAACUGUAUUAAUCCAAGUGCCCUCACUUUUUAGCACCGGCCUGUUUCAAAUUUGUUGUAAUGCAUGAAACUUUUGGUUUAUGAUGAGUAGAGGCCAAGAACUCAUCAAAUUGAUAAGUGAUGAAAUCUCCGAA